Long non-coding RNA from Dreissena polymorpha, 2019 nucleotides. RefSeq lists it as uncharacterized. Lineage: Eukaryota; Metazoa; Mollusca; Bivalvia; Myida; Dreissenidae. The transcript is spliced from 3 exons. The record is from RefSeq and is a predicted model, not a curated record.
AAUUAAAAAGACGUCAUUCCGUAUUAAGAUUUAAUGUUACGACAAUAAACGAUCGACAUCAUAAAAAAGAAAUUACGUUUGACAGCAACGGGGGUAAAUAAUGUUUGAAAAACAAAUAUUUAUACAGAUAUAUGUGUGUUAAUUUUAAUAUUUGUCACUCGUACUCAUUACAAUGAACACAACUAAGGCUUUCAGUAAGUCAUGUACCAGAUGUCCCUACGUAUUUUACAGCUUCACAUUAGCAUGAUAAAUUGACAUAGUAGAAAUAUAAUUAUAAUGUUUGAAGAUGAAUGAACCCUGAAAAGAACGACAAUACUCAUUACAUCAACAUCUACAAGGAUACUCCCAUUAUUACAGAAUAAACGAAUUUACCCGGUGUCUCAGUGAGAAAGUUAAUCAUGAAUGUCGCCGUACUCGAUCGUCGCCCACUUGGUCGGGUCAUUUUUCCAACAUCCAGCUUGCAAUUUGUACGGACAUUCAUUAAGUCCAAUUAGUUUUAUUUUCUGAUCAUAUCGGGCUUUCGAAGUGCAAUCUAACCCUUCAUAAUAGUCAAAAGACAUUUUAAACACCAAUUACAGGGCAUUUAAUUACCUAUCGACUUCCCAAUAGGAAUGCAAUUGACGAAAUAUCAGCAGAGGUGCUCAAUCAGCGUAGUAAAUCGACCGUAUCUAGGGCAUUGUUUUCACCGUCGCUAAGGGACUGCCCCUUUUGGGACGUCAUCGCGAUAAGGUCAAUUACGGUGCUGGGGACCGUUUCAAUAAGCUCUCGUACUCACCACUGACAUCAGUUAAAGAUUUUUGGCCAAAGGAAACAUCUAUUCCAAGCUGGCUGAUCUUCAUGGAAUCAGCAGAUCAUCUUUCGUUAUUUGACAUGCCUUCACGAGUUCAAUCAGCAAACAUAUGAUCGGUUUCCAGUCCGUGUACAACAACAAACUUGCAUGAAGGUUGGAUUCUGCCACAAGGCCUGGGAGCAGUGGAUGGGACUCUCAUACCCAUAAUACUGAAUACGUUAUAUUACACACAUGCAGUUGAACACAGCAGGAACUCUUGAAGAAAAAAAUGUGUAUUUUUUUUUGUUUGAACUUAAAUGUAAAAAAUAUAUUUAAUUUUAGCUCGACUAUAUCUUGAAUGAUAAGCUGUGUAUAAAAUUAUGGUAAACAUGCAACAUCCUUAUAUCACUGUUUCUAUUACAUAUUUUCAUUAAAAGCACUUAUGUAUUCAGGGUCAUUAUGUCAUUGUGAGGUCACUGACCAAGUUGCUUAUCUCUGACCUGCAUUUAGCUUAAUAAUGCGCCUUUUGUACUUACAAUGUUCCACUUAAAUUGUGUGUACAGCUACUCCAUAUCCCUAUAUUUUCCACAGAUAUUGAAAUAAUCCUUCUCAUAUGUAGUCAGAUUUUUUUUAAAUCAUAUAAAUAAUAUUUCUUUGAGUCAUUGUUAUAACCACUACAAAUAUUUACUGUUGUUGCGAAUAAAGUUUUUAAAACUGUUUAAACUGGAUGUUGUGUUAGUGAAUCUUUAAGAGAAGAAGCUUCUUGAAUAAUGUCACUUUAGCUUCUUACUUCACAAUCUUUUUGUUCAACAUGUAAUUAAAUACACUUUAAAUUAUAAAGUGGAUUGCAAUACAGAGAACGCAGAAGAAGCGCUUACAUUUGUACUUAAAAAGAAUGAUGUUUGAAGUUGUCAGCAUUUUCAUGGUGAACAUUUUGAUUGUUUGGCCACAAUGGAAAAAAUACUUUGUUACUAAUUUAAAUUUUAGCAAACACCUAAUAAUGCUUUAAAGAAUGAGUUAUUUUGUUUCUAAAGUAAAAAUAUGUCCUAACCUAGAAAAGAUACACUUUAAACAUUUUAUAAAUUAAAAAGAUGUACUUAAAACUCCACUGUCUAAGAAAAAGUGGAUUAUUUAUAAAUAAAAAAGAAAAAUACACUUCCGAAUUUAAAGAACAUGAAAAAAAGCUUCAUCUGAUUCUUAUUAAUUAAUGCAAUAAAGUGUUCUCUUUAGAAAAUGAAGACAAUUCGCUU